CACGUAGGGCGCGAGCGUUGUCCGGAUUUAUUGGGCGUAAAGAGCUCGUAGGCGGCUUGUCGCGUCGACUGUGAAAGCCCGCGGCUCAACCGCGGGUCUGCAGUCGAUACGGGCAGGCUAGAGUUCGGUAGGGGAGACUGGAAUUCCUGGUGUAGCGGUGAAAUGCGCAGAUAUCAGGAGGAACACCGAUGGCGAAGGCAGGUCUCUGGGCCGAUACUGACGCUGAGGAGCGAAAGCGUGGGGAGCGAACAGG
This 253-nucleotide ribosomal RNA is filed under the name uncultured bacterium. RNAcentral's name for it is "partial 16S ribosomal RNA". It matches the Rfam family "Bacterial small subunit ribosomal RNA", at positions 524 to 776 of the family's 1533-position model. The record is from RNAcentral.